Molecule: long non-coding RNA, 332 nt
Filed under: Phasianus colchicus (ring-necked pheasant)
Lineage: Eukaryota; Metazoa; Chordata; Aves; Galliformes; Phasianidae
Description: lncRNA (ENSPCLG00000004206.1)
Source: RNAcentral
ACAGUAAUGUUGAGGUUUGCCUUAAGGCAGCUAGAAAUCUUGACUGUUCAAGAUUUCAUGUUGUUCUGAAGCAGGUAUAACCCUUUCUUCUUACAGUCCCACUGAGACCUCUGGAAAAAGCAAGAGAAGAAAAGAGGGCCUGAUUUUUGUGGAUUUCUGUAGCAUUACCAAGAAAUUACCAUUUACUCUGGGAGUGAAAUGAGGAAAGCCACAAAAAUAAUGGGAUGGCAAUGAGAAACUUGCAGUAACUCCUCAAAAUUGAUCAGUAAGUUUGAGAAUUCUGUUCUUGGUCAAUAACUUAAACCAUAGAAGACCACCACAAUAUAAUUCAU